Sparus aurata (gilthead seabream) is the source of this 83-nucleotide small nucleolar RNA. Its record names the gene SNORD79. It matches the Rfam family "Small nucleolar RNA SNORD79". From Rfam's summary of the family: snoRNA U79 or Z22 is found in intron 7 of the gas5 gene in humans and is also present in mice. U79 is a member of the C/D class of snoRNA which contain C (UGAUGA) and D (CUGA) box motifs. Most of the members of the C/D box family function in directing site-specific 2'-O-methylation of substrate RNAs. NCBI's taxonomy places the organism in Eukaryota, Metazoa, Chordata, Actinopteri, Spariformes, Sparidae. The record is from Ensembl.
AACUGUCAAUGAUGAUCAUGUUUAUAAAACAUUGGGAAUCUCUCUGAUUAAGAGUGAAAGAGAUCUUUUGAACUGAUGCAGUG